CGAUGAAGGCAGGAGCUUGCUUUUGCUGGAUUAGUGGCGAACGGGUGAGUAACACGUGAGUAACCUGCCCUUGACUCUGGGAUAAGCGUUGGAAACGACGUCUAAUACCGGAUACGAGCUAGGACCGCAUGGUCACUAGCUGGAAAGAAUUUUGGUCAAGGAUGGACUCGCGGCCUAUCAGCUAGUUGGUGAGGUAACGGCCCACCAAGGCGACGACGGGUAGCCGGCCUGAGAGGGUGACCGGCCACACUGGGACUGAGACACGGCCCAGACUCCUACGGGAGGCAGCAGUGGGGAAUAUUGCACAAUGGGCGAAAGCCUGAUGCAGCAACGCCGCGUGAGGGACGACGGCCUUCGGGUUGUAAACCUCUUUUAGCAGGGAAGAAGCGAAAGUGACGGUACCUGCAGAAAAAGCACCGGCUAACUACGUGCCAGCAGCCGCGGUAAUACGUAGGGUGCAAGCGUUGUCCGGAAUUAUUGGGCGUAAAGAGCUCGUAGGCGGUUUGUCGCGUCUGCUGUGAAAAUCCGAGGCUCAACCUCGGACCUGCAGUGGGUACGGGCAAACUAGAGUGCGGUAGGGGAGAUUGGAAUUCCUGGUGUAGCGGUGGAAUGCGCAGAUAUCAGGAGGAACACC
Molecule: ribosomal RNA, 634 nt
Filed under: Microcella frigidaquae
Lineage: Bacteria; Bacillati; Actinomycetota; Actinomycetes; Micrococcales; Microbacteriaceae
Description: bacterial SSU rRNA
Rfam family: Bacterial small subunit ribosomal RNA
Source: RNAcentral